Molecule: ribosomal RNA, 1343 nt
Filed under: uncultured bacterium
Lineage: Bacteria
Description: 16S ribosomal RNA
Rfam family: Bacterial small subunit ribosomal RNA
Source: RNAcentral
GACGAACGCUGGCGGCGUGCUUAACACAUGCAAGUCGAACGGAAAGGCCCUGCUUUUGUGGGGUGCUCGAGUGGCGAACGGGUGAGUAACACGUGAGUAACCUGCCCUUGACUUUGGGAUAACUUCAGGAAACUGGGGCUAAUACCGGAUAGGAGCUCCUGCUGCAUGGUGGGGGUUGGAAAGUUUCGGCGGUUGGGGAUGGACUCGCGGCUUAUCAGCUUGUUGGUGGGGUAGUGGCUUACCAAGGCUUUGACGGGUAGCCGGCCUGAGAGGGUGACCGGCCACAUUGGGACUGAGAUACGGCCCAGACUCCUACGGGAGGCAGCAGUGGGGAAUAUUGCACAAUGGGCGGAAGCCUGAUGCAGCAACGCCGCGUGCGGGAUGACGGCCUUCGGGUUGUAAACCGCUUUCGCCUGUGACGAAGCGUGAGUGACGGUAAUGGGUAAAGAAGCACCGGCUAACUACGUGCCAGCAGCCGCGGUGAUACGUAGGGUGCGAGCGUUGUCCGGAUUUAUUGGGCGUAAAGGGCUCGUAGGUGGUUGAUCGCGUCGGAAGUGUAAUCUUGGGGCUUAACCCUGAGCGUGCUUUCGAUACGGGUUGACUUGAGGACGGUAGGGGAGAAUGGAAUUCCUGGUGGAGCGGUGGGAUGCGCAGAUAUCAGGAGGAACACCAGUGGCGAAGGCGGUUCUCUGGGCCUUUCCUGACGCUGAGGAGCGAAAGCGUGGGGAGCGAACAGGCUUAGAUACCCUGGUAGUCCACGCUGUAAACGGUGGGUACUAGGUGUGGGGUCCAUUCCACGGGUUCCGUGCCGUAGCUAACGCUUUAAGUACCCCGCCUGGGGAGUACGGCCGCAAGGCUAAAACUCAAAGGAAUUGACGGGGCCCCGCACAAGCGGCGGAGCAUGCGGAUUAAUUCGAUGCAACGCGUAGAACCUUACCUGGGUUUGACAUGGAUCGGGAGUGCUCAGAGAUGGGUGUGCCUCUUUUGGGGUCGGUUCACAGGUGGUGCAUGGCUGUCGUCAGCUCGUGUCGUGAGAUGUUGGGUUAAGUCCCGCAACGAACGCAACCCUUGUUCACUGUUGCCAGCACGUUAUGGUGGGGACUCAGUGGAGACCGCCGGGGUCAACUCGGAGGAAGGUGGGGAUGACGUCAAGUCAUCAUGCCCCUUAUGUCCAGGGCUUCACGCAUGCUACAAUGGCUGGUACAGAGAGUGGCGAGCCUGUGAGGGUGAGCGAAUCUCGGAAAGCCGGUCUCAGUUCGGAUUGGGGUCUGCAACUCGACCUCAUGAAGUCGGAGUCGCUAGUAAUCGCAGAUCAGCAACGCUGCGGUGAAUACGUUCCCGGG